RNAcentral lists this ribosomal RNA (492 nucleotides) under uncultured bacterium. Its description in RNAcentral is "partial 16S ribosomal RNA". It matches the Rfam family "Bacterial small subunit ribosomal RNA", at positions 29 to 507 of the family's 1533-position model. The record is from RNAcentral.
AGUGAACGCUGGCGGUAGGCCUAACACAUGCAAGUCGAACGGCAGCACAGUAAGAGCUUGCUCUUACGGGUGGCGAGUGGCGGACGGGUGAGGAAUACAUCGGAAUCUACUUUUUCGUGGGGGAUAACGUAGGGAAACUUACGCUAAUACCGCAUACGACCUACGGGUGAAAGCAGGGGAUCUUCGGACCUUGCGCGAUUGAAUGAGCCGAUGUCGGAUUAGCUAGUUGGCGGGGUAAAGGCCCACCAAGGCGACGAUCCGUAGCUGGUCUGAGAGGAUGAUCAGCCACACUGGAACUGAGACACGGUCCAGACCCCUACGGGAGGCAGCAGUGGGGAAUAUUGGACAAUGGGCGCAAGCCUGAUCCAGCCAUACCGCGUGGGUGAAGAAGGCCUUCGGGUUGUAAAGCCCUUUUGUUGGGAAAGAAAAGCAGCAGGUUAAUACCCCGCUGUUCUGACGGUACCCAAAGAAUAAGCACCGGCUAACUUCGUU